RNAcentral lists this ribosomal RNA (401 nucleotides) under uncultured bacterium. RNAcentral describes it as "bacterial SSU rRNA". It matches the Rfam family "Bacterial small subunit ribosomal RNA", at positions 362 to 758 of the family's 1533-position model. The record is from RNAcentral.
UAUUGGACAAUGGGCGAAAGCCUGAUCCAGCAAUACCGCGUGUGUGAAGAAGGCCUUAGGGUUGUAAAGCACUUUCAAUUGGGAGGAAAACCUACCGGUCAAUACCCGGUAGCUUGACAUUACCUUUAGAAGAAGCACCGGCUAACUCCGUGCCAGCAGCCGCGGUAAUACGGAGGGUGCGAGCGUUAAUCGGAAUUACUGGGCGCAAAGCGUGCGUAGGCGGUUCGUUAAGUCAGAUGUGAAAGCCCUGGGCUCAACCUGGGAACUGCAUUUGAAACUGGCGGACUAGAGUUUAGUAGAGGGGAGUGGAAUUUCAGGUGUAGCGGUGAAAUGCGUAGAUAUUUGAAGGAACACCAGUGGCGAAGGCGACUCCCUGACUAGAACUGACGCUGAGUACGAAA